This 267-nucleotide ribosomal RNA is filed under the name uncultured fungus. RNAcentral's name for it is "partial small subunit ribosomal RNA". Lineage: Eukaryota; Fungi. The record is from RNAcentral.
GGACUCAGAGAGCUGGACGGCCGUAAGGUCUGUACUAACUCUCUAGUUCUCACUAUGGGACACUCACCUCUGUUCUUCACUGGAUGGAGGUAAAAGCUCUGCGUCGUGGCUCAGCAAUGGGUCAGGCGUACGAGUCGAGUUCCCAUUCGUAAACUUGGAACAAAUUCGAUCGCUCAAGGAAGGCACAAAAGAGCCUUGAAGAGUAUAGCUUGGGAUUUCAGAACAGGACUUCGGUUCGAUGUUUUGUUGGUUUCUAGAAUUGAAGUA